This 245-nucleotide ribosomal RNA is filed under the name uncultured bacterium. RNAcentral describes it as "partial 16S ribosomal RNA". It matches the Rfam family "Bacterial small subunit ribosomal RNA", at positions 118 to 348 of the family's 1533-position model. The record is from RNAcentral.
UGGGUAACCUGCCUCAAAGAGGGGAAUAGCCUCCCGAAAGGGGAGAUUAAUACCGCAUAAUAUGUUUAGGUCGCAUGACUUUAACAUCAAAGGAUUUUCUUUUAGAAAUUCCACUUUGAGAUGGACCCGCGGCGCAUUAGCUAGUUGGUGAGGUAACGGCUCACCAAGGCAACGGACGGGUAGCUGGUCUGAGAGGAUGGCCAGCCACAUUGGGACUGAGACACGGCCCAGACUCCGUAGGGAGG